AAAAACCUAAAUUCAAUCCCCUAAUUCCCCUAACUCUGUAAUCAUAUAUUCAAAUAUGGAAGCUAAAUUCAAAUUCAUUCAAACGGCGAAGAAAAAUCAGCCCCAAAUGAUGAACAUCAUGAAUCGGACCCAAGGAAGAAGCAGACCACGACGAGCAUUCGAUCUGUAAGCACUACAUUUAUAUUAUCGGCAUAGACCAGAGAGGCUUAAAAAAAUUAGAGAUUUGUGUGGUAAUUCAUCAACAAAAAGACAAAACAGGAGACAAAUAGAGUAAGAAAGGGGCAAAUCUUUUUGUAUUUCAGCUCUCAUACUGCUAAGUUAAUUGAAUUAAUAUAGUGACGAAUUUAGUUGAAGAGAUGUUGUUCGAAUUGAGGACCAUUUUUCAAGUAAGUUUUCCUUUUGAAAUACAUCUGUUUUUAUCUAAUUAUGGUUUUUGUGAAGUUAUUGGAUCAUUACUGCUGUAGAUCUGCUGUAUUUCGUGUUUUGGUUUUUGCUGCGAUCUUUUGCUUAUUGAUGAAAUCUUAUUGAUUAAUCAAGCAGCGGUAAAUAAUUCAUGUUUUUGUCUGAUGAAGUAAUCAGUUAGUUAUGGAAAUAUGGUAAUAUGGAAUAUGUUGAGCUAGGCUUGUGCUCAACAAAACUCCUCAGCUAACAUAACAAAUGAGGUUCAUAACCCUAAAUCUGGAAUCAACUAUUCAAAUCAACUAUUAGUUUUCUUCCCCUUUUCUUAUCAAUUCUUCUUCUUUUAGACUGUUUGGUGGAUGGGGUACUAAUUGUGUGUAGUUGAAUAUGAUUUUUCUUAUCAG
This 803-nucleotide long non-coding RNA is filed under the name Panax ginseng (ginseng). Its description in RNAcentral is "long non-coding RNA (PGIN_LNC009110)". Lineage: Eukaryota; Viridiplantae; Streptophyta; Magnoliopsida; Apiales; Araliaceae. The record is from RNAcentral.